GAGGAUCCGUACCGUGUAGUCUUCCACCCGGUGGUAGCUGACGCCAGGGUCCACUUCCCCCCUCACGUCAAACGCUUUGAGGUCUAUAUGUUUUCCUUCGUCGAGGAUGCGGUUGAGCCGAGUGGCCAGGUCUUUGUCCAUUGUGAUGUGGUCAUCUGUGACGCCAGUAGUCCCUCUGGCGGCCCCUGUAGUGGACAAUGUGUGAAUCGGGACAACCCGAAAAGAGGUCAACGACAUGUCAAAGACCUCUUUGAGGAG
Molecule: long non-coding RNA, 258 nt
Organism: Salvelinus namaycush (lake trout)
Lineage: Eukaryota; Metazoa; Chordata; Actinopteri; Salmoniformes; Salmonidae
Exons: 3
Source: RefSeq, a predicted model, not a curated record